This 76-nucleotide transfer RNA is filed under the name Paracoccus sp. SMMA_5_TC. RNAcentral describes it as "tRNA-Met". It matches the Rfam family "tRNA". From Rfam's summary of the family: Transfer RNA (tRNA) molecules are approximately 80 nucleotides in length. Lineage: Bacteria; Pseudomonadati; Pseudomonadota; Alphaproteobacteria; Rhodobacterales; Paracoccaceae. RNAcentral also lists the same sequence under 1 other name. The record is from RNAcentral.
UGCAGCGUAGAGCAGCGGUAGCUCGGGACGCUCAUAACGUCACAGGUCGCUGGUUCGAAUCCAGCCGCUGCAACCA